UGGUGCUAACAAUAGAGACUGGCUGGCAGAACUGAGUGACUGGCUGAAUGUAAAAGGUGAGAAUGCUGUGCAGUGUCAGUGACACUGAACACAGGUCCGGCGCUAGCCGCUCAGCAAAGGGAUGCAGUGCAGGGAGACACCAGGAAGGAGAGGCAUUCUCCCUGCUCUGCAUCCCUUUUGUGAGCUGCUGCUGCUAUCCCUGCUGCCGACUGCUGUCACACAUGCAGCUGCGCCGGAAGCACAAAACCUAUUCUCCCCCUCGGUACCUGCCUCACAAAGCCUCCUCUCCCCCUCGGCGCCGUCAGCACAAAACCUCCUCUCCCCCCUUCCCUCCCCUGUGUGACAUUCAGUGGCUGGGAGGGAGGCAAAGUCGGUGGAGCUAGAUGGGAGUAAGGUGUGGAGCUACACGGUACCAUGCUGCAGCAGGAGGAUGAGCUACUACAGCUUCAGCCAGCCAGACUUCAUUAGAUAAGUGUCUGGAAAAAGAGUGAGUUCAUGUAUAUACAGUGUCUGUGUAUACUGUAUAUAUGUGUGACUGUGUAUGUGUGUAAUGUAUGUAGACUAUGUAUGUUUGUGUGUGUUUGUAUAUAUAUGUGUCUGUUGUGUGUGUAUGUGUGACUGCUGCAUAAUGUUUGUAAGCGUCACUGGUACAGGGGGCGUUACGUGUGUAAGCAACACUGGUACAGGGAGCGUUACGUGUGCAAGCAACACUGGUACAGGGGGUGUUACGUGUGUAAGCGUCACUGGUACAGGGAGCGUUACGUGUGUAUGCAACACUGGUACAGUGGGCGUUACGUGUGUAAGCGGCACCGGUACAGGUUGUGUUACGUGUGUAAGCAACACUGGUACAGAGGGCAUUACAUUUGUAAGUGUCUCUACUACAGCGAACUAAUUCAGCUAGUGAACAACUUGGAAUGACCCCCAUAGGACGCUGCAGUAAAACAAUGUUUUUUCCCUAUCUACAGUGUAGAGACUUGCUGCAGAUACAGUGGCAGACCCUCCAGCUGCACCUUUUUGACAGUCUUCCUCCACAGGGCCAGUGUUGUGCCCCAGAUCCCCCCUUGUUCUUCAAAUUAGUCCCCCACGGCAGCAGUUUAUUCCUUACACUGCACAAGCUCUUAAGAUUUGACUUCUAGACAUACUUUGCAGUAUAAGAUCAAGGCAUGCAAGACUGCAAUAUGUAUUGAAUAUCAAACUUCGAAAAAUGUUACAGCACAUUUGAAAUGUCAAUGAGAUGAAAGCAUGGUGAUACAAACCCCACCAAAUGCUAUUCCCAGCAGCCUAGAAAAGGGGGACAGAGCUUGUUGAUGCAGUGAUUUCCUUUUGUCCACUUUGAUCUAGUGUGGUUUGUAUUAUAUAAUCAGGCUAUAUUUAAGUUGGCUAAAGGUCCUGGACUAAUUCAGUUAUCUACUUUCUUUUUUACUAAAUACGGGGCUGUACAACACUAAAAAAUGAAUUAUUUAGUGCAUUCUGUGCACAAAAACUUCUUUUUUGUAGUAACCCUUUUAUCAUUUUUCUGUACACCAGCACAGGAAAAAUGCAGCCACAGUUUACACUGAUGACACUGAAUCAUGUCUUCAUCUGUCAAAUAAAAGUUACAUGUACAAUGAAGUGUCAUCUUAACUUUUUUCUUUUUUUGCUUUGAUUUGAAAUGUGUGUGUGGAAACAUUUCGAUUUUUUCAUUUUCAAGGCAUUUUAUGAGAUGCUUCCUCAUCUGAUCUUGCUCAAAUUUGAUUGUAGACAAUUUGAAACAAUUUGCAAGAGCUACACAGUUUGCUAACGCAAACAGACCACAGUCAUUGAUUCCCAUCUGUUUCUGGCAGCACCUAAAAUUAAUAUCAAGCACUUGAUUAACCCCAUCAAACAGUGGCAAAUAUAACUGUUUGAGCUGUUUUUUUAGUGUAUCUGGGACACCUGAAAAAGUUAAGGAAUCGUAAACAGUAACUGUAUUCCUAACUCUUUGAGAUGUGACCCAGUGUGCCCCAAGAUGGUGAAUUUGAAGCACCUGGUCACUAUCACAAGCAGUACCUGAAUUUUGUGCAAGGAUCAGGGUAUCAAUGAAACCUGCAUAUGAAGGAUGGCUCUGUGAGAUCAAGUACUGACAAACAUUUAUUAUAUUGUCAUCAAGCCAUGCUCCACUGCUUAUUUCCUCUCUAUCUUGGUAUGUCAGCUUGAUGCCAUUUAUGGUCAA
This is a long non-coding RNA of Pseudophryne corroboree (corroboree frog), 2191 nucleotides long. RefSeq lists it as uncharacterized. The transcript is spliced from 3 exons. Lineage: Eukaryota; Metazoa; Chordata; Amphibia; Anura; Myobatrachidae. The record is from RefSeq and is a predicted model, not a curated record.